AAUUCCCUGAGUCUCACGUGAUGUGUUUCAUGUCGCAGACCUCACAAGCAUAAUAAAGGAUUCUUGCCGGAAUGUGGUGUGCAUGCCCAAAUUUUAUUGGGAAGCCUGAAACAAACUUAAUAGAAUCCACCUAGUUAACCUAGGUCUUGGUGAUGUGUCUCACACACGGCUACUUGGGGUGUUU
This 184-nucleotide non-coding RNA is filed under the name Desulfovibrio litoralis DSM 11393. Its description in RNAcentral is "6S / SsrS RNA". It matches the Rfam family "6S / SsrS RNA". Rfam says of the family: E. coli 6S RNA was the first non coding RNA to be sequenced, but its function was unknown until recently. It consists of 184 nucleotides that fold into an extended hairpin structure with a large single-stranded internal bulge. The 6S RNA specifically associates with RNA polymerase holoenzyme containing the sigma70 specificity factor. The record is from Rfam by way of RNAcentral. Lineage: Bacteria; Pseudomonadati; Thermodesulfobacteriota; Desulfovibrionia; Desulfovibrionales; Desulfovibrionaceae.